CGGGGCGUCUCGGAGACCCUAGUCUUCACCCGGCCCACGAGCCUGGCAAGUCCACCGACCGAUCCCUAAGCCGGGUCUUUCUCUUGGAAACCUCGUCAGCAUCCUGCCUGACGUCUUAUGAGAUUUAUUAAAGCCCUAAGAACAACGAGGCUGAUAUCUGAGAUACUCAUUGAAGGCCCGGGAGAAUUAGGUACAGAUGAUGGCACUGUUGAAAAAUCACAAACGAAGCCAAUUUGAGCAAGAACUGUGUUGGUCCUUGGAGCGGGCUGGAGGCCCUUGGGUGAGAAAAACAGCCACAUCCAGGAUUGGGAGGAUUUACUACUUCCAAAGACAGAUAAAUUAAUAGAAAUUGCAAAAGAUAUAAAAGUAUGGGGUGGACAGGUUUAUUACUGUACACGGUGAUUUUCUUUUUUAACGUGCUGUAACUUGUAGCCAUUUUUAUUAAUGGGCCAAUCUAAACAGGGUUGAAAGAUUAACUGUGACUCCACCCCAAGUCACAAUAGGAUCCUGUACUUCUCUUUUUAUAGCUGUGAAGACUGGGAAUCAUUCUUGGCUCAGUGUAAUGUUUAUAAGGCAUGGCUCAUCUCAUUGAAUGAAAUUUUUUAAAAAAGAGUUUGAAGUUUGAGUUUAUGAUAGCAAUAAAAGUACUCUAUAUUCCUGGAUUAAAGUUGCUUUAAUUAAUGAGAAAAGUAAGCCAGCCAAAAGAAACUGGUGACAAUUUAAGAAGAGUAUUGAAAAACCACUGCAAUACUUGCCAGGGCCAUGCCACUCUACAGUUCAAACAUUUGCACACCCAAUUCGUUUAACCUUCACAACACUCAUGUGAGGGCAGCAUAGAGGCUGUCCUUAUUUUAUGGAUGAGAAAACCAAAGCUCAAAGAAACUAAGUGAUGGUCCAGGUUCUCAUAAGAACCGAGUGGUUGAGAAGACCUCUGGAACCAGCAGCCAUCCUAACUGCAUGGACUGAACUUUGAAAGACUAUUGCUCAGCACUCUUCACCUUAUCCAUUCAGAUAAGAUCACGAAGAUGGACGAAUAUGCUGAGCUGACUCAUUCCCCUCAGUAUAGAGCAGUCAUCUUCGUGGUGACAUUCAUCCUGACGAUGCUAAACAGGUUGACAUAUGGUGUCAGAAGUGAGAUUGGAAGUGAUCUCACCUUCAUGGACUGGCAUUCCCUGGAAAUGUGUUUAAUACCAACAUGAGCCCCUUUGUGUGUUCAGCUGCUUCCAAGGACAGCUGACUCCUCCAAUUGUGGGACCCCUCAGAAAUGGUGUGCACUGCCUGCGGAGGCCAGGAAGUCACCUGAGAAAUCCACGCCCAUGAAGCCACGUGAGCCUGCAUUAGCCUACUGAAUGACGUCAGCUGGAGAGAAGCAGCCAACAGCUAGCAUCACGGCCCUGGUCCUGUAAGUGAGGUCAUCUUAGAUCAUCCUGCUCCAGUCAACCCACCAGAAGAUUGCAAGCUUUUGAGUGACCCCAGGUGAGACCAGCAGAACUGCCCUGCACAGUGCCCUGUAUGUAUUAGGUGCUCAAUAUAUUUUGAAUGAAGACACGAUUAGACUGCCAAUGCUUGGGGAGAAAGGCCCAAGGAAGAUUAGAAGGUAUAAAUCUCAAAAGCAAACUUUCAGCUACACCUUUUCCACUAAUGAUUUAAAGACCAAGCUUUGAAAAGCUGAAGAAGAAAACAAGUGGAUGCCAGUGUUCGGUGAGGGAGGCCACAGCCGCGCGAAAUUUGUUCUAAAAGUAGGUAGCCACAGAUCCGUCUGCACAUAUCCAAGAGGGUUUCCCCCAGGAGGUGGGAAGGCUGGGGAAGGAAUGGACUGUUUAUAUCCAAGGACCUUUUCGUUUGCUUGGAAGAGCUGUUAAAGACUCUGGUAAAUAAAGGAGACUGAACAUAUGGUGAGCCCUCAAUUCAUAGCAGCCAUUAUCACUGUUGUUAUUAACAUUAUUUUAUCCUCAUCCUCGGGUUCUAGUUUUUCCCCC
Molecule: long non-coding RNA, 1979 nt
Organism: Equus caballus (horse)
Lineage: Eukaryota; Metazoa; Chordata; Mammalia; Perissodactyla; Equidae
Source: Ensembl